GAAUACGUAAAACAGUACACGUGAGGCUUCCUUGUAUUGUUUACAAGAAUCAGAUGCGUUCAUCAUACACACGUAUUCAAGAUGUGCCUAACCCCAUACACAACUCAUUUGCACGUCAAGUCAAAGGUGGUGAUACUGGCUAAAAGCUGUAGUGUUAUGAUUUUAUACUCAUGUCCGAACGAAGAAUGUCAAUAAAGGAGCUAGGAGUUAGGCAACUCAUCGCGAAGGAUCUUCUUUGAAAAUAUGAAUCUUUGAAAAUAAUUAUUAACUAGGGUUUGAAAAGGAGGGCGAGUCUCUUAAAUGAUUUUCUUAUGUGUGGGGAAAAAGAAACAAGCCCUAGCCGUGUUAUCCUCUGUUGACGCGUUUUCUAGCAGUAGUUGAUCAUAAGACUCCAGAUUUCAGACGUAGGGUUAAACGAAACAAUUGAUAAUCGUGGACUUCAAAUCGCUAAGAGUUAAAUGAGUCUGAUUUACGUAAAUGUUGCAUUAUUUGAGGGGUAUCUGAAAGAUAAACAUUUUUAUCAAAGAAAAAUAACAUUGAACUACAUGAUCGAUUAGCGGAGUUUUGUGGGACACUAUAAUUUUGGAAAUAUUGGAGUCCCUAAGAUCCACCAUUCAUUUUUAAAUAAAUCCAAAGGCUGAGAUUUAAGGACUAAAAAAAACGGCUGACAGUUACUACUCGUUUUUGAAAGCUUUUACGCGCACGACUCUGCAAGUUUCAUCCCGCAUCAACCGGUGAAGGACACAGCAACGCUAUCAUCAAUCCCCCUCUUUCACGGUGUUUCUCGGUAUUUGUAGAGCGAUCUCAAUAGCGGAGCUUAUUGUGCAGAACAAGGCAAAGUUGGGCGAAAAUGAGCUCUGAACGGUAGAGACGUAACUCAACGACCGAUGAGGGGUUUGCAGGACGCAUCAAUUUUGUUCGAAGUCUAGUUAUGAGUCGAUAAUGCUUGUCCUUAUGAAGUGCAAGAAAAACACCAUGGACAGAAGGACUAGAGUAGACGCUUAGUAUAGAAAGGAUGAUCGAAAAUUCUUGUUAAACAAGCUGCAGAUUUAUAGUCAUCGCUUAGUGACAUGGCGCUACAAUGAGAAGAUGAAGCUAGUACUAGACGGUAUCAACCACAUUGCUAGAAAUGAAGAAACAAAUGGGGUAAAGGAAUGAUGACAUCCCUACCGAUUAAGUUAAAAAAAAAAUACAUAAUCUGAAAGACUAAGUUCUAUGUAUUAGUUUGCUCGUUUUAUGAUACUGCAGUUUUAGGACUGUGUAAGACGGAAUCUCUUGAAUUUGUUAACUGUGAUUUGGAUUUGGAAUGCUAUGACAUAUAAUGGACUUAUUGUCAUUGUUUGGCUGAAUUAGUAGACUGAUAAUACAUUACUUCUGGGUGCCUAAAUUCGGAGAUAUUGCGGUGAACAACCUUCAUGUUCUGCGAUCUGGAUGUUCUGCAUUUGAAUGACUACGUUCCUCCUUAUCUUGACUUCCAUGAUAUUUGAAAAUA
Long non-coding RNA from Daucus carota subsp. sativus, 1492 nucleotides. RefSeq lists it as uncharacterized. NCBI's taxonomy places the organism in Eukaryota, Viridiplantae, Streptophyta, Magnoliopsida, Apiales, Apiaceae. The record is from RefSeq and is a predicted model, not a curated record. The transcript is spliced from 4 exons.